UGUUGCCUCCACACCAGCCUCCCCCUCCCAGGGCUCCUGAUCCUUGGGGCCCUGCCCUGACUGUGCAUGUGACUGACUACAGCCACCAGCCUAGGCAAGGAUUCAGACUUUCGUUCUAAGCCAGGGACAGUAGGUUCUUUCCUGAACCCAGGCUGGCCUCAAACAUGUGGAAGUCCUAACUCAGACUCCCAGUUGCUGCGACUACAGAGAGAAUAAAGGAGAAUGUGAAUUAACUGUGUUUACUGAAGUGGAUGGCGGAAGAAAGCAGUGGGACAGAGGCGAGCACUGAACCGGACACAGAUCACAGGGCUGCCUCUUGGCCAAGGAGCAAUGGGAGAUGUGGAAGGUGCUUGCCUGUCCUGGAGACUCCGAGGAGAGGAUGACAGGAUCCAGACCAGUCAGCUACAUAAAGAGACUUUGCCCAACACAAAACAAUAUCCCCUUGUGAUGGCACAUGUUUGUAAACCCAACACUUGAGAGGCUGAGGUAGGGGGAGCAGGAGUUCAAGGCUGUCCUUGGCUACACGUCAAGUUUGAGACUCGCUUGAGCUACCUGAGAACAUGACUCUAAAUAUGUAAACAAACAAACAAACAAACAAAUAAAUAGUUUGGUGUGUGUGUGUGUGUGUGUGUGUGUGUACACACACUCACAUACACUCAUACACACCACACACUAGUUUUUCCCUCUAACUCUGUGACUCUGGGCAGUGAUGAAUCAGGUCAAUAUUUAAAGAUGGUCCCUGCACAAUA
Molecule: long non-coding RNA, 749 nt
Organism: Apodemus sylvaticus (European woodmouse)
Lineage: Eukaryota; Metazoa; Chordata; Mammalia; Rodentia; Muridae
Exons: 3
Source: RefSeq, a predicted model, not a curated record